UAACGUGCUCCGGGGUCAGUGAAAAUCUGAGCCGGCGGUGAUAGUCCGCGACCCGACUGCAACGAGAGUUGUUGGCGGUUGAUUGGGUGAAAUUCCUGAACCGACGGUUAAAGUCCGGAUGGUAGGAGGCGUAC
RNAcentral lists this non-coding RNA (134 nucleotides) under Microbacteriaceae bacterium. RNAcentral's name for it is "FMN sequence". It matches the Rfam family "FMN riboswitch aptamer (RFN element)". From Rfam's summary of the family: The RFN element is a highly conserved domain that is found frequently in the 5'-untranslated regions of prokaryotic mRNAs that encode for flavin mononucleotide (FMN) biosynthesis and transport proteins. This element is a metabolite-dependent riboswitch that directly binds FMN in the absence of proteins. Lineage: Bacteria; Bacillati; Actinomycetota; Actinomycetes; Micrococcales; Microbacteriaceae. The record is from RNAcentral.